GCCAGCAUGGCAUAGUAGUUUGAACGUUGGACUAUGACUCUGGAGACCAGGGUUCGAAUCCCGGCUUGGCC
Phrynosoma platyrhinos (Desert horned lizard) is the source of this 71-nucleotide non-coding RNA. Lineage: Eukaryota; Metazoa; Chordata; Lepidosauria; Squamata; Phrynosomatidae. The record is from the annotation of a GenBank genome assembly.